RNAcentral lists this ribosomal RNA (243 nucleotides) under Staphylococcus epidermidis. RNAcentral's name for it is "partial 23S ribosomal RNA". It matches the Rfam family "Bacterial large subunit ribosomal RNA", at positions 34 to 274 of the family's 2925-position model. Lineage: Bacteria; Bacillati; Bacillota; Bacilli; Caryophanales; Staphylococcaceae. The record is from RNAcentral.
UGGCACUAGAAGCCGAUGAAGGACGUUACUAACGACGAUAUGCUUUGGGUAGCUGUAAGUAAGCGUUGAUCCAGAGAUUUCCGAAUGGGGGAACCCAGCAUGAGUUAUGUCAUGUUAUCGAUAUGUGAAUUCAUAGCAUGUCAGAAGGCAGACCCGGAGAACUGAAACAUCUUAGUACCCGGAGGAAGAGAAAGAAAAAUCGAUUCCCUGAGUAGCGGCGAGCGAAACGGGAAGAGCCCAAAC